Molecule: long non-coding RNA, 2987 nt
Filed under: Podarcis lilfordi (Lilford's wall lizard)
Lineage: Eukaryota; Metazoa; Chordata; Lepidosauria; Squamata; Lacertidae
Source: RNAcentral
CCAGCGAUCCUUUACGUUUUACCUUUACCUGCCUUUUGUGUACAAAUAAAUGGGGUUGAUUCAUUACCUUGUUAUUGUAGACCUCUGGUAAGGGAACCUAAUAUGCAGGAACAGGAGAGUAAAAGCAAGUUAAGAAACCCCAGUUUGGUCCAAGGUGCAAAGGACAUAAUUCUCAUGAACAUGGUGAGCAAUGUGUUGGCGUGCCAGGCAGUGUCUCCUUGUUAUUCAGGUGAACAGCAGUUGUGGGCUGGUACAUUGGCCUGUUUCUCUCUCUUUCAGCAUCAGCAUGACAUCACAAUGGCCUUUGUCUCUCCUUCUGGUUGGACACAUCAAUGUGAGAACACAGUGGCCAGUCUGUGAAAUAGGCAACAUCAGCAUGAGAUCACAGUGGCCAGUUUUUCUCCCUCAGGUGGCUAGCAUGGGCCACAGUGGGCAGCCCCUGUCCUUCAGGCAGGGAGCAUCAUCUUGUGGGGAGAGGCAUUCAUUCAUCUUCAUUCCUCUUCCACUCAGGCAGGCAGUAGCAUGUGGACAGAAUAUUUAUUUCUCUUAUGGAAGCUGCCAAAAGCAGGUGCAUGUCAACACAAUCUCUUUCUCAGUGAGGCGGGCUUAGUUGGGAGCAGAUGGUGGACCCUGUAUGUUCACCUUAGUGAGGUGGUCAGCAGAAGUAUGAGUGAAGUGGUCAUCUCACCGAAAUGGGCAGCAGCAUGUGGACAGAGAAGCUGCUCCAUAGUCGCCUUUAACUGGACUUAACCGUCCAGGGGUCCUUUACCUUUACCUUUUACCUUCCACGAAUUCGUCUAAUCCUUUUUUUAAAGCCAUCCAAGUUGGUGGCCACCACUACUUCUCUCAAUUCGCAUUUUUCAUACCAGGCAUAAUUUCACACAUCUUUACCACAGGCAGUUUAUCCCCCUCAGAGUUAAAUUCCCAUAAGAAAUCAGUUUCUGGGAUUUGUGUGUGUUAAAUGUGAUUUAAGGGUCUGCUGUGGAUGGGACCUUAGUCAUGAGUGUAGCCCUUUGUUACUUGCAUAACAAGUGACACCUCCUUCCCUCCAGACCCUCCCAGGUAUUAAGAUCAGCAGAGGUGGUCCUCUUAGCAGUUCCAUUACCUACACAGGUACAGUGGUGGUGACCCCCGAGAGGGAGUUUUCUGUGGCAGCCUCUAAGUUGCGGAAUUCCCCACAGAGGUGCAUCUGCCACCCUCAUUGUACCAUUGUCUCAGUACGUUUCUGAGCACAAUUCAAGGGGUUGGUGCUGACCUUUAAAGCCCUCAAUGACCUCGGCCCAGUAUACCUGAAGGAGUGUCUCCACCCCCAUCAUUCAGCCUGGACACUGAGGUCCAGCUCCAAGGGCCUUCUGAUGGUUCCCUCCCUGCAAGAAGUGAGGUUACAGGGAACCAGGCAGAGGGCUUUCUCGGUGGUGGCGCCCGCCCUGUGGAAUGCCCUCCCAUCAGAUGUCAAGGAGAUAAACAACUAUCUCACUUUUAGAAUACAUCUGAAGGGACUCCUGCAUAGGGAAGUUUUUAAUGUUUGAUUUCUUGUUGUUGUUUAGUCGUUUAGUCAUGUCUGACUCUUCGUGACCCCAUGGACCAGAACAUGCCAGGCACUCCUGUCUUCCAAUGCCUCCUGCAGUUUGGUCAAACUCAUGCUGGUAGCUUCGAGAACACUGUCCCACCAUCUCAUCCUCUGUCGUCCCCUUCUCCUUGUGCCCUCAAUCUUUCCCAACAUCAGGGUCUUUCCAGGGAGUCUUCUCUUCUCAUGAGGUGGCCAAAGUAUUGGAGUCUCAGCUUCAGGAUCUGUCCUUCCAGUGAGCACUCAGGGCUGAUUUCCUUCAGAAUGGAGAGGUUUGAUCUUGUAGUCCAUGGGACUCUCAAGAGUCUCCUCCAGCACCAUAAUUCAAAAGCAUCAAUUCUUCAGCGAUCAGCCUUCUUUAUGGUCCAGUUCUCACUUCCAUACAUCACUACUGGGAUGAUUACUUACUGUGUUUGAUUUCUUACUGUGUUUUAAUUUGUGGGAAGUUGCUCAGAGUGGCUGCGGUAACUCAGCCAGAUGGGCGGGGUAUGAGUUAUAAAUACUACUAUUUAUUAAUACUAAUACUAAUAAAAUAUAUAUAUAUAAUUAUGCAAUGUUCAUCAAAUUUUGAAGAUGUUCCUCUUUAUCCUGGCCUUUUACACACACACACACACACACACACACACACACACAAACAAACACUAAUGCUGUAUUUUAUAAUGUUGUAACCUGCCUUGGGACCUUCUUUCUGGUGGUGGCAGCAGCUGUAACAUGGUGUUUUUGUUCCAGGGUGAUAGGAGAGCAAAACAUUGCUUUCUUCUCAGUGAAGUAAAUGGUCUUAAACCCAGGUGCUCUGGGCUUAACCGGUUUGCACGCCAUAAGCUAGGAGAGCAAUUAACGGUGCCCUUUUAAUGUUGCCUCUCAAUACCUUGUUGGCUCCCCUCCCCACAUGGCUCCUGGGUGUGGGGGGGCGGGGAGGGAAGGAGGAAGGUUGUCAAAAGCUCUUCUCCUUGUUCAGCAGUUUUCUGGAAAACAGGAUAAGUGCCCGGCCCGUCUCCCAUCAGCAAAAAAUUAGCCGACUGAAUGUAAAGUUCAGCCCCCUCCCCAUGAACUCUAAGCCUCCAGACUAUUCACUUUCCCAGCUGCUGAAUAAUAAAUACCAACACUUACACAUGCAGGGCAGGACAACAUGCUGAUGUAAUCCUACAAAAGAACAGGCUACAGCUCUGCUCAGACAGGAUUUCUUUUUCUUUAGAAUUUAAAAGUCACAUGCAGAGUCCUUCGAGGGUGACCCUUUACACGUGCUCCGAGCUUGAGGAACUUGAUUAUUUUGCCAGUCAUGUCAUAUCUGGGUAAAUCUGCUCCCUUGUUUUUCCUACUCACAGCCAGCUAAGGAUAGGAGGGGAAAUUUGGUUCACUUCACAUUUUAAUGCCAACCUAUCUAAUUUGAACUUCUCGCAACGAGACACAAACAAAAAAA